Long non-coding RNA from Leptinotarsa decemlineata (Colorado potato beetle), 329 nucleotides. NCBI's taxonomy places the organism in Eukaryota, Metazoa, Arthropoda, Insecta, Coleoptera, Chrysomelidae. The record is from RefSeq and is a predicted model, not a curated record.
UUGAAAACUAGUAACAUUAUCAUCAGACCUGUUGAUCACCUUAUACUUGCAGCCACAUUUCAUGACUCGUUUCGAUGGAAUGUAAACAGAUAAGUGGGGCUAAUAAUGUAUUUUUAAUCAUACAAACAGCCACAAGUACCUCGUGUGCAUCACUUGAGAUCCUCGAGAAACGUAUGGCGAUUGAAUGAAAGCUUCUUGUACAUUGCAGAAACUCUAAAUAUGAAAAAGAUAAGUUAUAUUGGUUGAAAGUGUUCAUCCCGAAUUGAUCCCAGAUCAACGAACCUAGACAUAAAUAAUUAGAAGAAAAUAAAAAUGAGUUUCUGCUGAAA